Molecule: ribosomal RNA, 253 nt
Filed under: uncultured bacterium
Lineage: Bacteria
Also listed under: 1 other name
Description: partial 16S ribosomal RNA
Rfam family: Bacterial small subunit ribosomal RNA
Source: RNAcentral
UACGAAGGGGGCUAGCGUUGUUCGGAAUUACUGGGCGUAAAGCGCACGUAGGCGGUCCGUUAAAUUAGAAGUGAAAGCCCUGGGCUCAACCCGGGAAUUGCUUUUAAGACUGGCGGACUGGAAUCCGAGAGAGGGCAGUGGAAUUCCCAGUGUAGAGGUGAAAUUCGUAGAUAUUGGGAAGAACACCAGUGGCGAAGGCGACUGCCUGGCUCGGUAUUGACGCUGAGGUGCGAAAGCGUGGGGAGCAAACAGG